RNAcentral lists this ribosomal RNA (487 nucleotides) under uncultured bacterium. RNAcentral's name for it is "partial 16S ribosomal RNA". It matches the Rfam family "Bacterial small subunit ribosomal RNA", at positions 28 to 507 of the family's 1533-position model. The record is from RNAcentral.
GAUGAACGCUAGCGAUAGGCUUAACACAUGCAAGUCGAGGGGCAGCACAAGGUAGCUUGCUAUCUGGGUGGCGACCGGCGCACGGGUGCGUAACGCGUAUGCAACUUGCCCUAUACAGGAGGAUAACCCGUCGAAAGACGGACUAAUACUGCGUAUGCUCACAACUUGGCAUCAAGUGGUGAGGAAAGAAAUUCGGUAUAGGAUAGGCAUGCGUCCCAUUAGCUUGUUGGUGAGGUAACGGCUCACCAGGGCAACGAUGGGUAGGGGAACUGAGAGGUUUAUCCCCCACACUGGUACUGAGACACGGACCAGACUCCUACGGGAGGCGGCAGUGAGGAAUAUUGGUCAAUGGGCGCGAGCCUGAACCAGCCAAGUCGCGUGAAGGAUGACUGUCUUAUGGAUUGUAAACUUCUUUUAUACGGGAAUAACAAGAGUCACGUGUGACUCCCUGCAUGUACCGUAUGAAUAAGCAUCGGCUAACUCCGUG